This 253-nucleotide ribosomal RNA is filed under the name uncultured bacterium. Its description in RNAcentral is "partial 16S ribosomal RNA". It matches the Rfam family "Bacterial small subunit ribosomal RNA", at positions 524 to 776 of the family's 1533-position model. The record is from RNAcentral.
UACGAGAGGUCCAAACGUUAUUCGGAAUCACUGGGCUUACAGAGUUCGUAGGCGGUUCUACAAGUGGGGUGUGAAAGCCCUCGGCUCAACCGAGGAACUGCGCUCCAAACUGUAGAACUAGAGGGAGAUAGAGGUGAGCGGAACUGAUGGUGGAGCGGUGAAAUGCGUUGAUAUCAUCAGGAACACCGGAGGCGAAGGCGGCUCACUGGGUCUCUUCUGACGCUGAGGAACGAAAGCUAGGGGAGCAAACGGG